This 412-nucleotide ribosomal RNA is filed under the name Verrucomicrobiota bacterium. RNAcentral describes it as "Verrucomicrobia bacterium partial 16S ribosomal RNA". It matches the Rfam family "Bacterial small subunit ribosomal RNA", at positions 355 to 776 of the family's 1533-position model. Lineage: Bacteria; Pseudomonadati; Verrucomicrobiota. The record is from RNAcentral.
UGGGGAAUAUUGCACAAUGGGGGAAACCCUGACGCAGCGACGCCGCGUGCGGGAUGAAGGCCUUCGGGUUGUAAACCGCUUUUGAUUGGGAGCAAGCCUUUUGGGUGAGUGUACCUUUCGAAUAAGCGCCGGCUAACUACGUGCCAGCAGCCGCGGUAAUACGUAGGGCGCAAGCGUUAUCCGGAAUUAUUGGGCGUAAAGAGCUUGUAGGCGGUUCGUCGCGUCUGGUGUGAAAGCCCAUCGCUUAACGGUGGGUUUGCGCCGGGUACGGGCGGGCUAGAGUGCAGUAGGGGAGACUGGAAUUCCCGGUGUAACGGUGGAAUGUGUAGAUAUCGGGAAGAACACCAAUGGCGAAGGCAGGUCUCUGGGCUGUUACUGACGCUGAGAAGCGAAAGCGUGGGGAGCGAACAGG